AAAAACUUUUUUUUUUUUUUUUUGGCCAAAGAAAUUCUUGGAAGGCGAUGGCCGGUGGAGUGGUGUAAUCCACGUGCUACUUGGGCUUGUGCUGAUGAUCCAAUCCGACCCAUGGUUGAUUCUGUCCUUCCAAAAUUCAAACAAGCGCAUUCCAACAGUUGUUUUCUUUCUCAAUUUUCUUAGAAUCAUGUUUUCAUAUUAUAAGAUUUUAAAUUCUUAAAAUGAUAUAGGUCUUCAUACUUAUGAAACUGAAAUCUUUUUUAUGUUUACGAUCUCUAGUGUCUAAGUGAAACAUGUACAGCCAGAACAAAUUGGGAUCAUCUACCUCAAUCCACACGUCGUUCAAACACAUUCAGUUGCUUCCCUGCUCACACACUAUACCAUUUCAAGCUUCAACAAUAGCUUCCGAAACAAUGUAGAUGCCAUGAUUCUUUGGUUAAACAUAUGGAAGAUUGAAAGAAGAAAAAACUACAUUUAAAACAAGGAUGAGGAAUAAGAACAUGAUAGAAACGGGAAGGAAA
Molecule: unclassified non-coding RNA, 521 nt
Filed under: Hevea brasiliensis (rubber tree)
Lineage: Eukaryota; Viridiplantae; Streptophyta; Magnoliopsida; Malpighiales; Euphorbiaceae
Source: RNAcentral